AGAGUUUGAUCCUGGCUCAGAUUGAACGCUGGCGGCAUGCCUAACACAUGCAAGUCGAACGGUAACGGGAUAUUUUUNGGAAUAUUGCCGACGAGUGGCGGACGGGUGAGUAACGCGUAGGAAUCUGCCUUGUAGAGGGGGACAACCCGGGGAAACUCGGGCUAAUACCGCAUAAUAAUCGCGAGAUGAAAGGGUGGGACCUUCGGGCCACUCGCUAUAAGAUGAGCCUGCGUUGGAUUAGCUAGUUGGUGGGGUAAAGGCCUACCAAGGCGACGAUCCAUAACUGGUCUGAGAGGAUGACCAGUCACACUGGGACUGAGACACGGCCCAGACUCCUACGGGAGGCAGCAGUGGGGAAUAUUGGACAAUGGGGGCAACCCUGAUCCAGCAAUGCCGCGUGUGUGAAGAAGGCCUGCGGGUUGUAAAGCACUUUUAGCGAUGAGGAAGGAUGUGGUGUUAAUAGCGCCAUAUUUUGACGUUAGUCGCAGAAAAAGCACCGGCUAACUCUGUGCCAGCAGCCGCGGUAAUACAGAGGGUGCAAGCGUUAAUCGGAAUGACUGGGCGUAAAGGGUGCGUAGGUGGCUAUGUAAGUCAGUUGUGAAAUCCCCGGGCUUAACCUGGGAACUGCAAUUGAUACUGCGUAGCUAGAGUUUGGGAGAGGGCAGUGGAAUUUCCGGUGUAGCGGUGAAAUGCGUAGAUAUCGGAAGGAACACCAGUGGCGAAGGCGACUGCCUGGCCUUUAACUGACACUGAGGCACGAAAGCGUGGGUAGCGAACAGGAUUAGAUACCCUGGUAGUCCAA
RNAcentral lists this ribosomal RNA (802 nucleotides) under uncultured bacterium. RNAcentral's name for it is "bacterial SSU rRNA". It matches the Rfam family "Bacterial small subunit ribosomal RNA", at positions 8 to 798 of the family's 1533-position model. The record is from RNAcentral.